This 609-nucleotide ribosomal RNA is filed under the name Microbacterium oleivorans. RNAcentral describes it as "bacterial SSU rRNA". It matches the Rfam family "Bacterial small subunit ribosomal RNA", at positions 77 to 699 of the family's 1533-position model. Lineage: Bacteria; Bacillati; Actinomycetota; Actinomycetes; Micrococcales; Microbacteriaceae. The record is from RNAcentral.
AGCUUGCUCUGUGGAUCAGUGGCGAACGGGUGAGUAACACGUGAGCAACCUGCCCCUGACUCUGGGAUAAGCGCUGGAAACGGCGUCUAAUACUGGAUAUGAGCUGCGAUCGCAUGGUCAGCAGUUGGAAAGAUUUUUCGGUCUGGGAUGGGCUCACGGCCUAUCAGCUUGUUGGUGAGGUAAUGGCUCACCAAGGCGUCGACGGGUAGCCGGCCUGAGAGGGUGACCGGCCACACUGGGACUGAGACACGGCCCAGACUCCUACGGGAGGCAGCAGUGGGGAAUAUUGCACAAUGGGCGAAAGCCUGAUGCAGCAACGCCGCGUGAGGGAUGACGGCCUUCGGGUUGUAAACCUCUUUUAGCAGGGAAGAAGCGAAAGUGACGGUACCUGCAGAAAAAGCGCCGGCUAACUACGUGCCAGCAGCCGCGGUAAUACGUAGGGCGCAAGCGUUAUCCGGAAUUAUUGGGCGUAAAGAGCUCGUAGGCGGUUUGUCGCGUCUGCUGUGAAAUCCCGAGGCUCAACCUCGGGUCUGCAGUGGGUACGGGCAGACUAGAGUGCGGUAGGGGAGAUUGGAAUUCCUGGUGUAGCGGUGGAAUGCGCAGAUAUCA